This 1186-nucleotide long non-coding RNA is filed under the name Carica papaya (papaya). RNAcentral's name for it is "long non-coding RNA (CPAP_LNC015097)". Lineage: Eukaryota; Viridiplantae; Streptophyta; Magnoliopsida; Brassicales; Caricaceae. The record is from RNAcentral.
GAAUUGUGUGAAACUGCUUAAGGUUGCUAAUGGAGCCCGAGUCUAGUGUGAUUUAUGAUUUACUGUUAUUUGGCCUGUUUUACAGCAUUAAAUGCAUUAUGAGGUUUGAUGUGUUCAUUUUAUAGUUUCGAAUGCAUAUAUUACUGUUUUAUUAAUUAUGGGUUGAAUGACUGAAGAAGUGAUACUGUAUGUUGUCUGUUCGGCAUGAAUUAUGAUUUGCUUGUUUAAAUGUGAAUUGAUGAUGCUUAUUGAGGAAAAGUGAAAUGAAACAUUGUAUAGACUGAUAAUUGUAUGAUGGGGUCAGCCUGACUAGAUAUCCUGGGAGAUGGUGGACGGACCGGGUCCGUAGGGAACCCUACCGGGAUUGUGGUCUCACAUGCCGGACGGGGUAUGGAGAUCUUAUGGUUUUGGCGCCCAUACCGGACGGGGUAUGGGGACGGCCCGUUUCACCCUCAUACCGGACGGGGUAUUGAGGUUUAUGGUUUUGGCGCCCAUACCGGACGGGGUAUGGGGACGGCCCGUUUCACCCUCAUACCGGACGGGGUAUUGAGGUUCAUGGUUUUGGCGCCCAUACCGGACGGGGUAUGGGGACGGCCCUGGAAACUGAUUAUGAAUGUUAAAGGUUAACGGGUAGCGGGACCCCUAGGGACCCCCAUGGAUACUAGUAGGCUGGUAAAUGAGAAAAGGAUAUGUUGAUUAAUGAUUUAAUUACGAAAGGCGUGAUAAGUGCUAUGUUUUACAGCUUAUAUUAUUCCAUGAUUGUGAUAAUGUUAUUAUUUUCUUAUAUUGUUUUCAUAAAUUCCACCGAGGUAAGUGGAUGGUAAAGGUUUUCAUGUUAAUAAACGAGUUUAUUGUAAAUUAUGCUCCAUUGGUCUUUUUGUGUUUUUCUACCCACCUUUACCUCUGUGACGGUGAGAUAUCGUGAUGUUCUUACUGGGCUAGUGUAGCUCACUCCUUAAUUAACCAUUCCAGAUCAGGAAGACAUGGUUCCCGAGCCCGUUCCGCAGGAGGACGACGAAGGGGAUGCCUAGAGACUCUGUAGUUAUACGCAUAGUUUAUUUUCGAGCUUUCUUUCUUAGUUAGUUUAACCUUUUAUAUUUUAAGUACGUUUUUUUGGUUUUUCGUGUAAGGGAUGUUAACUGAAAUUUUGAUCUCGCUUCCGCAUUCGAUAUAUUUAAAUACUCAU